GUUUGUAUGUGGUGCUGAGGAUCAAACCCGGGCCGCACGCAUGCCAGGCGAGCGCACUAACGCUUGAGCCACAUCCCCAGCCCCGGGAGAACAAUUUAAACAAGCAUUUAUGUCCUUAUGGUACACAAGCAGGUAUGAGGCAUCGAGGAAGCAGUAUAUUAUUAAGAUGUCUCUCCAAAGAAAUGCACAGUCUGGGCAAUAACAUUUUGAGGGAACAGUACUUCUGGGGUGAUAAGCAGCUGUAUGUGAGGUUGAAAGUUCAAGAGAGGGCCCAGGGCUGGAGAUUUGGGAGGCAAAAAGCCACCCAGGGAGUUGAUUGGAGUGCAAAGUGAUGUUGUCUGUGGAACCUAGAUAACAGCACAUUUAGGGUUAAAAGGGCCCCUUUGAGGAGAGGAAAGGGAACUUGGAGAGGGCAGUGUCCCAGAAAAUAAGAGCUUCAAGUCAAUAUCUGUGCUGUUGAGGAAUGUCCCAACAUUCGGUGGCAUCAUCUCCCAGCCCGAACAUCACAGAGAACCGGCUGGGGCUGUAGGGCACCAACGGGACUGCACACCCUCCUCCCUCAUUCCUUGCAAGCCAAGAAGACUUUGAGCUAUCUUUCAGAGCACAGAGCCUGUGGAGCCCACAAGGUGCCAUUUCUCUGGCCUGUAACUAUGUGGUUACAUUAAUUUUCAGCCCUUGUGCCUGGUGUUCUUUCUCAGUUUCUGCCUUGUGGAAAUCAGUCUUAAAACCCCGAAGGAGUGGCCUCCCUACCACCUGUCCAGUGGAUUUCCCGAAAGAGUAACUCAUCUAGCAUCCUGUGGAUGCUAGAUGUUGAGUGUUGGGUCUAUUUUUUUAAGAGAGAGAGAGAG
RNAcentral lists this long non-coding RNA (848 nucleotides) under Marmota monax (woodchuck). The record is from RNAcentral. Lineage: Eukaryota; Metazoa; Chordata; Mammalia; Rodentia; Sciuridae.